UUGAUAAUAAUAACGGAUAAACAUAACAUAGCAAUAAAUAUUAAAUACCAACGCAGGAAAUACACAAAAUAACAAAUAACAAUUCUAUUUUAAGAUUCUUGUUACAGUAGCUGAUCGUCCACAGUCAUAAUUCAAAGUGAACCUGCAGUAAAUAAAUGGAUAUCAGAGCACGUAGUAAUAUGGUGGUAUACUUGGAGAGUCCCGAUAAACACCAAUAUUACUUACAGACAGACCCAGCAACUACCGCAGAAGGCAGAAACAACUAUGGCCAUAACCGUGCAUAUACAGUUAAAAGUGGACUAGACCGUUAAUAAUUAAACAACACUACUAAGAUAACAAAAGGAAACAACUGUGUAAGUCCAGAACAAGUCUAACAGCUGGAAAUCAGAAAUUGAGAAAAAAAUCCCAUCGAGCAGCACCAAUUAACAAGUUCACAAGCCAUUAGACAAGGAACCCCAACACAUUGGAAAAGAGGAAGAUCAAGACGAUAAACAGAAUAUUAAUUUAUUUUUUGAUACCAAACCCGUAAAAUUAGCACUUCCAUUUUAUAAUAUUUUUUUUAACACGAUAUAUCUCUAUUAGGUUUUGGUAAAAAUAAAAAAUCAACAUUGUUAUAUUAAAAUUAUGUGUGACAAACACAAAUACAAACAAUAUUAGAAGGAGAUAAUAUAAUAAUAAUAGAAGGAGACCCAUAACUAUAUUAUAGUCGUUUAUUUUCAGUGUUGGACGUUGAUAUUUAUUAUUUUUUUUCCCGAAAUGACGACGUCGUCGAACGCGGAUAACAACAAUAUGGUACCUUAUAAAUAUAAUGUACUAAAUUAUUAUUAUAACUACUUCGUACUUACUAUUCAAUAUAAAAUUAUUUAAUAAUAAAAUAGAACAAAAAUAAACUGAAAACGUUUCAAUGUAAUAAGUAUAAUAUAUAUAUAAUAUAUAUAUAAACAUAACUUCAAUACAAUAUGUUAUUACUGAUAAAAUAUGUUUAUUAAACCGAAUCGGAGAAAAACGGAUACAGCGUAAUAAGAAAAUUAUUAUUACAUUUAGAAUUUAUUUCCAAAUUAUUUUACGACGUAUUCUAACAUAUUAUUAUCUAGUAUCUACUCAGUUGCUCUGAACACGCAUUUUCUGACGU
Molecule: long non-coding RNA, 1132 nt
Organism: Aphis gossypii (cotton aphid)
Lineage: Eukaryota; Metazoa; Arthropoda; Insecta; Hemiptera; Aphididae
Exons: 3
Source: RefSeq, a predicted model, not a curated record